Octopus sinensis (East Asian common octopus) is the source of this 139-nucleotide long non-coding RNA. RefSeq lists it as uncharacterized. NCBI's taxonomy places the organism in Eukaryota, Metazoa, Mollusca, Cephalopoda, Octopoda, Octopodidae. The transcript has 3 exons. The record is from RefSeq and is a predicted model, not a curated record.
GUGUGUGUGUGUUUGUGUGUGCUUUUUCCAGUGUGUGUGUGUGUGUGUGUGUGUGUAUGUGUGUGUGUGUGUUAAGGAUGGUAUGGUGUACAUACCAAUUACAAAACAAUUGCUUAAUUAGCAUAGGGAAAUGAGAAAG